GACGAACGCUGGCGGCGUGCCUAACACAUGCAAGUCGAACGGAGAUGUAUUUUGGAAGUUUUCGGAUGGAAGAGAUACAUCUUAGUGGCGGACGGGUGAGUAACGCGUGAGUAACCUGCCUUUCAGAGGGGGAUAACGUACUGAGAAGGACGCUAAUACCGCAUAACAUAUCGAGGCCGCAUGGCUUUGAUAUCAAAGGAGCAAUCCGCUGAGAGAUGGACUCGCGUCCGAUUAGCCAGUUGGUGGGGUAACGGCCUACCAAAGCGACGAUCGGUAGCCGGACUGAGAGGUUGAACGGCCACAUUGGGACUGAGACACGGCCCAGACUCCUACGGGAGGCAGCAGGUGGGGGAUAUUGCGCAAUGGGGGAAACCCUGACGCAGCAACGCCGCGUGAAGGAAGACGGUUUUCGGAUUGUAAACUUCUUUUGUUAGGGACGAUAAUGACGGUACCUAACGAAUAAGCUCCGGCUAACUACGUG
Molecule: ribosomal RNA, 481 nt
Filed under: uncultured bacterium
Lineage: Bacteria
Description: bacterial SSU rRNA
Rfam family: Bacterial small subunit ribosomal RNA
Source: RNAcentral